GACGAACGCUGGCGGCGUGCUUAACACAUGCAAGUCGAACGGAAAGGCCCUGCUUUUGUGGGGUGCUCGAGUGGCGAACGGGUGAGUAACACGUGAGUAACCUGCCCUUGACUUUGGGAUAACUUCAGGAAACUGGGGCUAAUACCGGAUAGGAGCUCCUGCUGCAUGGUGGGGGUUGGAAAGUUUCGGCGGUUGGGGAUGGACUCGCGGCUUAUCAGCUUGUUGGUGGGGUAGUGGCUUACCAAGGCGUUGACGGGUAGCCGGCCUGAGAGGGUGACCGGCCACAUUGGGACUGAGAUACGGCCCAGACGCCUACGGGAGGCAGCAGUGGGGAAUAUUGCACAAUGGGCGGAAGCCUGAUGCAGCAACGCCGCGUGCGGGAUAACGGCCUUCGGGUUGGAAACCGCUUUCGCCUGGGACGAAGCGUGAGUGACGGUAAUGGGUAAAGAAGCACCGGCUAACUACGUG
This 468-nucleotide ribosomal RNA is filed under the name uncultured bacterium. RNAcentral's name for it is "partial 16S ribosomal RNA". It matches the Rfam family "Bacterial small subunit ribosomal RNA", at positions 28 to 507 of the family's 1533-position model. The record is from RNAcentral.